This 312-nucleotide small nuclear RNA is filed under the name Felis catus (domestic cat). RNAcentral describes it as "7SK RNA". It matches the Rfam family "7SK RNA". From Rfam's summary of the family: 7SK was discovered as an abundant small nuclear RNA in the mid-70s but a possible function has only recently been suggested. Two independent studies have found that 7SK RNA binds the CDK9/cyclin T complex (known as elongation factor P-TEFb). The record is from Rfam by way of RNAcentral. Lineage: Eukaryota; Metazoa; Chordata; Mammalia; Carnivora; Felidae.
GGAUGAGAGGGUGAUCUAGCUGUGACGUCUGUCACCACAUUGAUCACCAGGGUUGAUUCCACUAAUCUGGCCAGCUAGGGGGGGUGUCUCCUUCCUCCCUCGCCUCUGCUCCACGCGCGUGCCUCCCAAAGCUGCAUGCUUAGUCCAGGAUGAUGAUCUUCCAGAUAGAGGCAUAGCAGUAACUGCGCUCCCCUGCUAGAGCCUCCAAACAAGCUCUCAACGUCCAUUUGUAGGAGAUCACAGGGUAGUCAAGCUUCCAAGACUCCAGACACAUCCAAAUGAGGUGCUGCAUGUGGCAGUUUGCCUUUCUAU